Long non-coding RNA from Dreissena polymorpha, 615 nucleotides. RefSeq lists it as uncharacterized. The record is from RefSeq and is a predicted model, not a curated record. NCBI's taxonomy places the organism in Eukaryota, Metazoa, Mollusca, Bivalvia, Myida, Dreissenidae. The transcript is spliced from 2 exons.
GAAAAUAAACGUGUUAGUGUUCUGCACCAAACCGAGCAGAUAUAACAUGGAGUGGCAAGGACUAAUUGGAUUUAUCCUGCUGUUAAAUCAGUCGAUCAAAGCUGAACAAUUUACUCUAAGCAGUGACUCAACCCCAUGGCUUUUAUCAUUUUGCGAUCUUGCGGAACCAAGGCUUGCGUACAAGAAUGCACAUUUUGAGGUUGAAGAAGAAAUUGAUGUUUUAUCAAACAAUGCGGAAGCUUGGUUAGGAUUCGUCUCGUUGAAAGUUGUUUUGUUGUGUAUAUGUGUGUGUAUGUUGUCUAGUACGUUUUUUCGUGUCACACUGUUUAAAAAUUGGCCCUUUGCUAUUAUUAAGGGAUCAACUGCAAUUAAUAAGGCUCUCCCCUGAUGGAACAUUUGUAUUAUGUUUAUAUAAGAUGGAUUCAAAUGAAUGGAAGAUAUGUUAGUUGGUAGCUUUGUUUCCUACCUGUGGUGUCUAUUAUCUCAAAACAGUAAAAAGGUUAAUAUAUCAUUUUAUCUGCAGUGAUUUAACUUAGAUUGUAAAUGCUUGUAAAUAGUGUUGAAUGUAAAUAGACACUAUAUUUAAAACUAUCAAUACAGUAUUUUUUAAACGAA